GUCCACGCCGUAAACGAUGGGCACUAGGCGCUUGGGGGAGCGACCCCCCGAGGGCCGGCGCUAACGCAUUAAGUGCCCCGCCUGGGGAGUACGGCCGCAAGGCUGAAACUCAAAGGAAUUGACGGGGGCCCGCACAAGCGGUGGAGCAUGUGGUUUAAUUCGACGCAACGCGAAGAACCUUACCUAGGCUUGACAUACACGGGAAAGCCCUCAGAAACGGGGGCCCCUCUUCGGAGCCCGUGCACAGGUGCUGCAUGGCUGUCGU
RNAcentral lists this ribosomal RNA (265 nucleotides) under uncultured bacterium. Its description in RNAcentral is "partial 16S ribosomal RNA". It matches the Rfam family "Bacterial small subunit ribosomal RNA", at positions 793 to 1055 of the family's 1533-position model. The record is from RNAcentral.